AUGCCCAAUGGGGCACAAGCUUCGACUGAAGAAGGCGAGGCGAGCGGGGGCGAGGCGAGCGGGGGCGAGAGCCAGGAAGAGGAGGAAUGGGACUCGGAUGCUGCAGGGGAUGAUGACGACGAUGAUGAUGAUGAAGGUGACGAAGAUGACAUCGAGGACGAAGAAGAAGAGGAGGAGGAGGCCGUUCCACCGCGCUCAGAAAGGCGGUCGAAGCUUGUCCACGACCCUUCGACCGAACGUGGUAAGGGGGUUGCGACCGCCACUCAGUCGACCAAGCGCCCUCGGACCACCUCUCCGGCGCCGACUGAAAAGGCGCCGAAGCAGCUCAGGGCGGCCUCAUCGAAGCCGACCAAGCUCCUGCCGAAGAUGAAGGUGUCUAUCCCCACCAUAUCAGGGUAA
Molecule: ribosomal RNA, 399 nt
Filed under: Triticum aestivum (bread wheat)
Lineage: Eukaryota; Viridiplantae; Streptophyta; Magnoliopsida; Poales; Poaceae
Description: partial small subunit ribosomal RNA
Source: RNAcentral